This 1069-nucleotide long non-coding RNA is filed under the name Marmota monax (woodchuck). The record is from RNAcentral. Lineage: Eukaryota; Metazoa; Chordata; Mammalia; Rodentia; Sciuridae.
UUGGGGAUAGGAAUUGGAAACUGAGGUCUGAUUAUGGUUAGGCCUACAGAAUGGUGAUUAUCUCAACAAUUGAAUGCGUUUCUGUACCUUAAUGAAGAUUCAAGAGGUCAAUCCGUUCAGAGUUGGUUGACUGAGUAGUUAUGGCUGUUGAUGCACAUGAACUCUGUGUCGGUUCAGUUCUGUUUUUCCUAGGACAUCUCUUUUUCCCAUAUAAGUCUGAUACAAGCACAGAACUAAAAGGAAAAAUACACCAAAUCACACUGUCAUCCUCUCGAUGAAGGAGUAGGAAUUAGGACAAAGCCAGGAUGAAGGGAAGUGGUGUUUGAACUGCUAUCGAGCUGCAGAAGGUUUUGGAACAGGCUCCCCUAGGGAGCAGAGGCACGGUGGUGUUCCUGGAUGUGUUGAUAGGCAACCUGUAGACAGCAGUUUAGAGCCAGACAGAAUAAGCACAUGCUUCAGUGGCAUAGAUGUUAGGCUCUUCAGGGAAAGGACCUGUUUUAUUUGAUUCUAAUUUUCUGAAAAGUGCCACCUACAUGUCAAGCGUGGUCCAAAUAGCCUGUAAUAAUCUGUUGUACUGUGCUUAUGCUAUCUGAUUUUACAUUUCUCCAUGAGAAGCCAUAAAAGAUGCCUUUAUAUUGGUGGUGCUCCCUGAUUUGCCUGUGGCUAGGACUAUUGGAUAAGCCCCUUGGACUUCGAAGAAACAAUUGGAAAGUGUUAGAAUGUAUUAUCUCUGAAAGGGCAAUCAUAAUGAUGGUUUCCAAAAGGUCCCUACCUUUGGGAUGCAGAUGAAUUAUGACAGCCAGAGAUGGAAAAAGCCCUUAUUUUUGUGUUUGCUUCCCUGGAAAAAUGACAUGCUGAAAACAGAAUAAAUACAUUCUAAUAGUUUUCGUGCUCUAUAUGAAAACAGAAGCUUUGUUGAUUUUUUCUUAAAACAAUGAAAAACAAAAAUUUAUUUCACAGUGUAUUAGGUAGUGUUUUAUUAAUGUUUUUUUUUGUUUAUUGCUUUUGACAUAUACACAUAAACCACUUUGUCUACACCCAUACAAAAUAGUUCAGGACAAGAAAUAAG